UCGGGAAUUUUGGGCAAUGGGCGAAAGCCUGACCCAGCAACGCCGCGUGAGGGAUGAAGUAUUUCGGUAUGUAAACCUCGAAAGAAUGGGAAGAAUAAAUGACGGUACCAUUUAUAAGCUCCGGCUAACUACGUGCCAGCAGCCGCGGUAAUACGUAGGGAGCAAGCGUUGUUCGGAUUUACUGGGCGUAAAGGGCGCGUAGGCGGCGCGGUAAGUCACUUGUGAAAUCUCUGAGCUUAACUCAGAACGGCCGAGUGAUACUGCUGUUCUAGAGUGCGGAAGAGGCAACCGGAAUUCUGGGUGUAGCGGUGAAAUGCGUAGAUAUCAAGAGGAACACCUGAGGCGAAGGCGGGUUGCUGGGCCGACACUGACGCUGAUGCGCG
Molecule: ribosomal RNA, 383 nt
Filed under: uncultured bacterium
Lineage: Bacteria
Description: bacterial SSU rRNA
Rfam family: Bacterial small subunit ribosomal RNA
Source: RNAcentral